RNAcentral lists this long non-coding RNA (461 nucleotides) under Oryctolagus cuniculus (rabbit). RNAcentral describes it as "lncRNA (ENSOCUG00000031223.1)". The record is from RNAcentral. Lineage: Eukaryota; Metazoa; Chordata; Mammalia; Lagomorpha; Leporidae.
AUGAGCAUUUUUGAGCACGCAGAACACAUCGGCUCAGCCUGGAGCCAGCAGUUAGAGCGCGAACACACACACACACACACACACACACACACACACACACACACGCAGGCACGCACGCGGAGCAGUGCUUUCCUCUCAAGUGAGGCGGCAUUAGCAACUGCAGUUCCAGCUUCCUCAGCUGAGCUCCCGGCGGCCACUGCCUGCCUGAUUUGUCGGAGGAGCGCUAGAGUCCAGUUUCUGAGGGAUCCGGUAACAUGUAGCUGUCACAGCUGGUGGCAGACAGCCACUUCUUUCCAGCUGCUUCGCAGCCCUGGCAAGAGGACACCCUCUUCCAAAAUUCACGCUGCCUGGGGAGGAGGCUGCUCAGUGCAGACAGAAAGGUGCAGAAAAAUUCGAGGAUUUGGUGAGUUCAUGGAGAAAACAUCCUGAUACUAAAGGCUGUGCUGGACGACAGAAGACAG